This 190-nucleotide unclassified non-coding RNA is filed under the name uncultured Acinetobacter sp. Its description in RNAcentral is "contains 16S-23S intergenic spacer region". The record is from RNAcentral. Lineage: Bacteria; Pseudomonadati; Pseudomonadota; Gammaproteobacteria; Moraxellales; Moraxellaceae.
GUGGACGUUACUCGCAGAAUAAGCACCGGCUAACUCUGUGCCAGCAGCCGCGGUAAUACGGGAGCCAGCAGCCGGGCGGUAAUACCGGAUGAGCCAGCAGCCGCGCGUAAUACGGGGAGCGCGGUAAUACGGGAGCCAGCAGCCGCGGUAAUACGGGAGCCAGCAGCCGCGGUAAUACGGGAGCCAGCAG